Molecule: long non-coding RNA, 3269 nt
Organism: Phasianus colchicus (ring-necked pheasant)
Lineage: Eukaryota; Metazoa; Chordata; Aves; Galliformes; Phasianidae
Source: RefSeq, a predicted model, not a curated record
CAAAGGAUAUUCCAUACCUUAUGACAUCACGUGGAAGGAGUUCUGAAGGAGGUGGGAGAGCAUCUCACUCUCUUCUGCUGCUUGGGGAUCUAGCUGGGAUUUGGUUGGGGGUUGGCGGGCAAUUGCUUGUGCAUCACUCAUUAUAUAUUUUUAUAUAUAUUUGCCAUAAUAAUUAUCAUUUUCCUUUAUCUUAGUAUACAGUUUUAUCUCGAUCCAUGAAUUCUACUUUGUGGGUUUUUUUUCGAUUCUCUCCUCCAUCCCACUGGGAAGGCAGGGAGUGAAUGAACACAGUGUGGUGCUCAGCCACCUGCUGGGUUAAAUCCCAACAAACACUGGUGGGGAAAUUCCUGCAGUUUGCAAAAUCUUCCGUUUUCAGUAAAUUGAUCAUUUCCUUUAUAUACACAGAAACAUCUGUCGAAGAUUAUUUACUCUGUGUUUCAUUAACACAGAAAGAAGAAAACAGCAAGAAAUCCACCAUCUAUACAAGUCUGCAGAUUAAUAAGUUUGAAAGCUUCAUCUUGCUUUCACAUUCUGUUUGUUUCACAAUGACUGAAUUACAGAUGGUUUUUGUUAGCAAGUUCAGAUCUCUGUAGUUAGGAUCCGAAAGACUGAACUGGAAUAAUGAAUUCACUUCAUUUCAUACAAGUGCACAUAUCAUCUUUAUAUAGGUAACAGCAGAGCAAAGUAAAGCAUAGAAAAAAACUGUAAUGGUGCUCAAAUGACGUGUUGAAUAGCAAAAAUACACUUCAGAAAAUAUGUUUUUAUAUUGCAAAGAAUUAAACUAUUGGAAAAAGACACGCAGUCUGGAUAUGAAAGUGCCAUUUCCUAAAGCUAUUUCUUCAGGGCCUAUAAACUAUGGGCAAUGCUAUGUCAAACUGUGGUGUAAUUUUUAUAUCCUACAACAGUAUUUUAGGACUGUGUAUGAGAAAUAACACCUGAUUGCUGACACUGCUGCCCAAAACCACCAUUUCACUUGCCGUGGGUCUUCCUGAAUUUGUUUUGGCACUGGUCUUUAUGACACAAAGCAGUCUUUUUAUGUCUUUAAUAUGUAGAUGGGUAGCCUGAGAAGACACUUAUUGCUUCUAUCCUGCUUUGCAAUCCAAAUGCACUGCUACCUUUGCAUGUUUCAGAAGUCGUUUAAAUUCGUUUCGCAGGCAGGUGAAAGACUUCAGAGGCAUUUUAUAAUGCAGAUUCUCCUUAGGGCCACAUUCCAGCUGUGUUUGAAGGUGUGGAAAGUCACUGCUGUUCCAACAGCUUCUGCUAGCUGGCAGGGUGGAAAAAAAGCAGACUCAGCAGGGAAGUUCUGAAUGCUCAGGAGAAAGAGCUAAUUUAACUGCAGGAAACUCUCAGAAGAAAAUCCUUGAGAUCAAACUCCUAAUCAAGUUCAAUACAUACAAAUGUGAAGAGAACAAAAACCUAUCAGUCAAACACACUGUAUAGCACUGCUGAAUGGGAAUUGUUUGAUGAUUUUUUUAAGGAAUAUUCCAGUCUGUUCAAAAAAUAAACUGCAACUAUAGAUUUCUCAAAGAAAUUUAUGCAUGUGCACAUUACCUAGGCAAAUGUUCUCACAGCUUGAAAUAUGCUGUGGAAGCACUCAUGUGCCUCUUUCUGGCUGCUGCAGCCCGUGGGCCUGCUGUGUUAUGGUGAGAUGGUGCUGAUAAUGGUUUUUGCUGAGGAAUGCUACCCACAUCUGCGUUGCCCAUCUCUGCUGCUUUCUUUGCCUGGGGCAGUGAUGUCACUGUGUUUGGGGUGGAGGUCAGUAUUACUCAACAAAGAUGGUUUGCUCCUGGCCAGGAUCACAGGUGAUACAUUCUACUCCAUGGUAUUCUCAGUAAUUAUUGCAUGGUUGGCAAUAAUUAUUUAGAAAGAUUUUUUAGAAAUCUUUCUAAAUUUUAGAAAGAUGAGAAUAGAGAAUAUUAAUUUGGAUUUUGCACAACUUCCACAUAAGUGAUUUUCAGGUGGGUUGUAUUUUCAUAAAAGGGGAAACAUUCUGGCCUGCAAGAUGUGUGUUGGCACCAAAAAGUAAAGUCUGGCAAGUGAUAGUGAAAAGUGGGAUUUACUGUGAUCCAGUGAUGUGUGUAUCCCAAAUGGCAAGGAUCUGGGAGCAUAGGGAAGACUAUAAAGUGCUCUUUGCACUCUUAAUUCUUUUCAAUUGAAAGGAUCCAUAGGGGCUUAUUUCAUUUUCUCUGCAAGGGUAAUGAGGAUGUCUGCUUCUCUUUCUUUCCACAUAUGCUUAGAGCCAGUCUGUAUGCAAAGGAUGACUUCCUGCAUGCUCAUGCUAAUGUGCAGGCCAGUGGGUUUAUUCUUGCUAAAGACACAAUCCCAAACAUCCAUUAUACUGGGGAGUGUUGGCACACUGACAUCAAUUCUCAUAGGUGCAUGAGAGCUAUGUGCACUGCCGUGAAUUUCAGCAGUGAGAAUGUGGGACUGGAUGCACUUCAGAAGGAUGUUGUGCUGAUGCUAUUGGUGUAAGCUGCAGCUGAGUUUCCCAACCCUUUUUGCAGUUGGGAUGGAAAGGGAAGGAUGUCAAUGUCUACUAUUCCUUAUUAAAAGUGCAGCUUUCAGUAAGUACACAGGGUACAUGGGAAUAUAUAUUUCUUGACAUAAAACCAUUUCAUUUAGAUUGCUUUUAGCUUCCACAUCUGAGGAUAUAACUUGAAAGUGGCUUGGCAUAGAAUGACAUAAAAGACAAUGAGACAUGAAAGGCAAUCAGGGUUUAUCAUUGGAUCUAUUUACUCAUACGUUUAUGAAGGAUGUGUCAUGUAGCACAGAAAACAGUAAAAGAUAGUACACUAAGAAAUCAGUAUGCGUGAUGUUUGAAAGGUUUUAAUAUUGUAACAAAAAUCUUGAUACUAAAAUCAACUCCAAAACAAAGUUGUUUUUCUGCUGAGGGAGAAAUGUGUCCAUUGAUGAAGUUCCACAUGACAAGCGUAAAUGAAGGUCUGCAGCUCAAAACGGCUCUAACCCAUGGCUCCCUGCCACCCCACUGUUGUGGGAAGCCCUCAAUCUACAAGGCUAUGCGAGUGUCAUCACAGUGAGGAGUUUAAUGACAUAGUGGGAGGUUGUUUCAGUACCUCCAUAUGGCUGGCAACAUGCUCUGCAUCAGCAUCUACCAGAAAUGCUCCAGCGCUCCUGCCUGAAUCUCUGUGAGAACAAUCAGAGGGCACUGUGCUGCUCAGUUGGGCAAUCCCUAACCUAGCAACCUCAGUCUCUGCUCCCCAGUGGGUAAUUCCCCCUGCUGCCUUGUUUGGCACACAACAUGCAUGCAG